Danio rerio (zebrafish) is the source of this 114-nucleotide non-coding RNA. NCBI's taxonomy places the organism in Eukaryota, Metazoa, Chordata, Actinopteri, Cypriniformes, Danionidae. The record is from Rfam.
ACCGUCAGCUAGCUCUCUGCAACUUUCACAUGGUCGCCAACCAAAGCUGAGCAGAGCUGUGCCUGGUUAGUACCUGGAUGGUAGAUCACAUGGGAAAACAGGUUGCUGCCGGAA